GGCUACCUGGUGCUUCCCACAAGCUGCGUUCUUUACACCUGUUGUAUAGAAAAAGAAGCAUAGUAAACCCACCCCAUUUAUACCUCAGCCCAGGCAAAAGGUACAUAUGAGGUGGGUUUGUUAUAUGAACCAUGUGGUAUUAUAA
This 145-nucleotide small nucleolar RNA is filed under the name Sorex araneus (European shrew). Its description in RNAcentral is "Small nucleolar RNA SNORA51 (ENSSARG00000018726.1)". It matches the Rfam family "Small nucleolar RNA SNORA51". Rfam says of the family: ACA51 is a member of the H/ACA class of snoRNA that guide the sites of modification of uridines to pseudouridines. Lineage: Eukaryota; Metazoa; Chordata; Mammalia; Eulipotyphla; Soricidae. The record is from RNAcentral.